This 255-nucleotide ribosomal RNA is filed under the name uncultured Lactobacillus sp. RNAcentral's name for it is "partial 16S ribosomal RNA". It matches the Rfam family "Bacterial small subunit ribosomal RNA", at positions 109 to 351 of the family's 1533-position model. The record is from RNAcentral. Lineage: Bacteria; Bacillati; Bacillota; Bacilli; Lactobacillales; Lactobacillaceae.
AGUAACACGUGGGGAACCUGCCCCAUAGUCUGGGAUACCACUUGGAAACAGGUGCUAAUACCGGAUAAGAAAGCAGAUCGCAUGAUCAGCUUUUUAAAAGGCGGCGUAAGCUGUCGCUAUGGGAUGGCCCCGCGGUGCAUUAGCUAGUUGGUAAGGUAAAGGCUUACCAAGGCGAUGAUGCAUAGCCGAGUUGAGAGACUGAUCGGGCCACGUUGGGACUGAGACACGGCCCAAACUCCUACGGGAGGCAGAGUU